RNAcentral lists this ribosomal RNA (482 nucleotides) under uncultured bacterium. Its description in RNAcentral is "bacterial SSU rRNA". It matches the Rfam family "Bacterial small subunit ribosomal RNA", at positions 29 to 506 of the family's 1533-position model. The record is from RNAcentral.
UUGAACGCUGGCGGCAUGCUUUACACAUGCAAGUCGAACGGUAACAGGCCUUCGGGUGCUGACGAGUGGCGAACGGGUGAGUAAUGCAUCGGAACGUACCCAGGAGUGGGGGACAACCUCGAGAAAUCGAGGCUAAUACCGCAUACGUCCUGAGGGAGAAAGCGGGGGAUCUGCAAGGACCUCGCGCUCAUGGAGCGGCCGAUGUCGGAUUAGCUAGUUGGCGGGGUAAGAGCCCACCAAGGCUACGAUCCGUAGCUGGUUUGGGAGAACGACCAGCCACACUGGGACUGAGACACGGCCCAGACUCCUACGGGAGGCAGCAGUGGGGAAUUUUGGACAAUGGGGGCAACCCUGAUCCAGCCAUGCCGCGUGAGUGAAGAAGGCCUUCGGGUUGUAAAGCUCUUUCGGCCGGAACGAAAUCGCGUACGCGAAUAACGUGCGUGGAUGACGGUACUGGAAGAAGAAGCACCGGCUAACUACGU